CCAAUAGCGUAUAUUAAAGUUGUUGCAGUUAAAAAGCUCGUAGUUGAAUUUCGGGAUUGACGUGACGGUCGUGCCUUACGGGGUAUGAACUGUUGCUGUUGAUUUCUCACCUUCUGGAGAAACUUGAUGUCCUUAAUUGGGUGUCUUGCGGAUCCAGGACCUUUACCUUGAAAAAAUUAGAGUGUUUAAAGCAGGCAUUUUUGCUCGAAUACAUUAGCAU
Molecule: ribosomal RNA, 220 nt
Filed under: uncultured Entrophospora
Lineage: Eukaryota; Fungi; Glomeromycota; Glomeromycetes; Entrophosporales; Entrophosporaceae
Description: uncultured Claroideoglomus partial small subunit ribosomal RNA
Rfam family: Eukaryotic small subunit ribosomal RNA
Source: RNAcentral